CAGAAAUUGAAUGCAUACCUGCAAAUUUCAUAAUUCAUAAAAAUAUUAUGAAUCCUUAAGCAAGUAUAUAUUUUUAUCAUUACAAAUUUGCCCCUCUGUCUUUAAUUUUAUCUGUUUUAUUAGUGAUUGUUGUAUUUACUUUCAUAAAUUCUAAAUAUAAUAUUUAAUUAGUUGUAUAGUUUCUUAAUAAUAUAAUUAACUUUAUUGUUUCAAGAUAAAGUUGUAUCCUUGAAAGAUAUGCUGGUAUUAUUGGCACAAUGGGCAAGCUAAUUAUUGUAUUGCCUAAAAGAGUGUCAUUGCCGAAAAAAAUACAAAAAAAAUACUUAAGUAAAUGGUCAAUUAUUCCGCACAAAUUGCUUGGAGUUAAAGACGAAGGAGAUUGAAUAUGUUAUUUACUAAGAAUAGUUUUUUAAAAUGGCCUAGCUGUAAAAUUAAACUAUGCAGGGAGAGGACAAAAAACUGGAAUAGGAAAAAUGUUGAUUGCAUAUGUUGCUAUUGAAAGUCAAAUAAGCAUGGUUUACGCAGAUAUGUGAUAGAGAUAGCGGAACAAAAAAUAAUAAUCUUGGGCACCAAAUAUCAUUAGCUAAACACGAUUUAAUAACAAGUAGCUCAGCCAAUAUCAAAACUACUUUAUAAAUUUUAUAGUGAUUUUUUUUAUUUAAAACUCAAUGUGUCAGUUUUUGGUUUAAGUUUGGUGUUUGCAAUAUGUAUAUUUAA
This is a long non-coding RNA of Hydra vulgaris (swiftwater hydra), 717 nucleotides long. RefSeq lists it as uncharacterized. The record is from RefSeq and is a predicted model, not a curated record. NCBI's taxonomy places the organism in Eukaryota, Metazoa, Cnidaria, Hydrozoa, Anthoathecata, Hydridae.